Cyprinus carpio (common carp) is the source of this 480-nucleotide long non-coding RNA. RefSeq lists it as uncharacterized. The transcript has 3 exons. Lineage: Eukaryota; Metazoa; Chordata; Actinopteri; Cypriniformes; Cyprinidae. The record is from RefSeq and is a predicted model, not a curated record.
UAAUAUCAGCUACUUUAACACAGUUAUAAACCUUUGCUUGUUUAACAAAUAUAAAUAACACAUUUCAUUUUUAAAGAAACAUUUGUCACAUGGAUUUUCUUUAGUCUGUUUUUGAUACAGAGAGCAGUGCUAUUAUAUCAGACACAUAAUUUAAUAUAAGAUAACUAAACCUAUUCUGCAACCUCUUGUGUUUUUCAGAAUCUUUGCACAAAUUGUACACACUGCAGGAUUUGAUAGGAACAGGAAGCUACGGCAAGGUGUUCAAGGCAGUCCGAAAAUCAGACGGCCGAGAGGUUGCCAUCAAAAGAACGCAGAAAUGGAGCAACUACUGUUCUCUUCAGAUUCCUGGUUGUUCCAGACGUCUGGCUACAGAAGUGGGGCUGAUGCUGAUGUUGAGACGUCCUCCAGUGUGCCCCUACAUCAUAGAAAUGUACGAGUGGUUCGAUCAGCCCCUGGUCUUCUCGCUCGUUCUGGAGUUCC